Molecule: non-coding RNA, 82 nt
Filed under: uncultured Anaeroplasma sp.
Lineage: Bacteria; Bacillati; Mycoplasmatota; Mollicutes; Anaeroplasmatales; Anaeroplasmataceae
Source: RNAcentral
AUUAAGGGGAGCCUUUGGCUGAGAGGAAUUGAUAUUCGACCCUUGACCUGAUCUAGGUAAUGCUAGCGUAGGGAAUAAUGUG